AUGCAUAAAAAAAGAAAAAGAGAGAAAAGAAAAGAAAAAGAGAGAAAAGAAAAGAAAAAGAGAGAAAAGAAAAGAAAAAGAGAGAAAAGAAAAAGAGAAAGAAACUCCUUUUUGAGCGCCGCCGCAGGGGCUGUGUCCCUGCAGGACGUCCCAGCGCCCAGCAGGGACACGGCACCGUCCCCCCGUGCCCAAGGGCGCCACGGCCGCUCCACUCUGCCCGCUCCUGCGGCGCCUGCCACCCGCGUCCUCAUCACCCGCAUGUCCUUGUCACUGUCACCCGCACAUCCUUGUCACCUGCGUCCUCAUCACCAUCACCUGCAUCCUCAUCUCCCGCAUCAUCUCCAUCACCCUCAUCCUCAUCUCCCGCAUCAUCUCCUGUGUCAUCUCCAGCACAUCCUCAUCACCAUCUCCCGCAUCCUCAUCACCCACAUCCUCAUCACCACCACUCGUGUCCUCACUGCCCAUGUCAUCACUAUCACCCAUGUCCUCCUCACCCAUGUCCUGUCCUGCGUCCUCGUCACCAUCUCCCACAACCUCAUCUCCUGUGUCCUCAUCACCACCACCUGUGUCCUCACUGCCCACGUCAUCACCAUCACCCAUGUCCUCAUCACCCAUGUCCUGUCCUGCAUCCUCGCCCAUGUCCUCACCACCUGCAUCCUCAUCUCCCGCAAUCUCAUCUCCUGCGUCCUCGCCGCCCGCAUCCUCAUUCUCGCUGUCCCCACAUUUACCUCCUGGGGCCAGCAAGGCCACUGCCUGAGCCGGGCACGAGCGCCAGCAGCGUCCCGCUGUGGGUCGCUCCCAUCCCUGCGGCGCCCCCAUGGCAUCAGAGCCGGUGCAGGACCCUCUUGGCUCCACCGAGCUCGUGCGGGAGAAGCCUGGAUCAGGCCCUGACUCAAAGGGAGCCCGGUGCCGGCGGGGCCAGAAACCAGCGCUCCCGCGACAGCGUUUCACUUCUCCUCCGCCCAAGUUUUGCCGCUCACCGGCAGCGCUCGGUUCCCCAAACCUGGCCCAGCCCCCCAGGUGCCGAGGAGGGGACGGGGCCCCCCCGCUUCCCCUCCGCGCCGCCGAAACCACAGGGACCUGAGCACGGCGCCAGAGCCUCGCCACCACCGCCCGGAGCUGCACCUGCGCCACAACCGACCCGGACCUGCACCCGCACCCCAAAGCUGCACCCGUGCCGGAGCUGCACCCGCACUGGAGACGCCUGGAACUGCACCCACCGCCCAGAGCUGCACCCGCAGCCCAAAGCUGCACCCGCACCGGAGCCGCCUGGAACUGCACCCGCAGCCCAGAGCUGCACCCGCACCAGAGCCGCCCGGAGCUGCACCCGCACCAGAGCUGCACCCACACCAGAGCCGCCCCCGCACCGGAGCUGCCCAGAGCUGCACCCGCACCAGAGCCACCCAGAGCUGCACCCGCGCCGCAGCAUCGCCGGAGCUGCCCAGCACCGGAGCCUCACUGCAGCUGUCUGAAGCUGCACCCACGCCGGAGCCUGGCCACAGCCACCUGAAGCUGCACCCGCGCCGGAGCCCGGGCGCAGCCACUUGAAGCUGCACCCGCGCCAGAGCCAGGCCGCAGCUGCCUGAAGCUGCACCCGCGCCAGAGCCUCGCUGCGGCCGCCUGAAGCUGCACCCGUGCCGGAGCCCGGCCGCGGCCGCCUGAAGCUGCACCCGCGCCGGAGCCUGGCCGCAGCUGCCUGAAGCUGCACCCGUGCUGGAGCCUCACUGAGGCCGCCUGAAGCUGCACCCGUGCCGGAGCCUCACUGCGGCCGCCUGAAGCUGCACCCGUGCCGGAGCCCGGCCACGGCCGCCUGAAGCUGCACCCGUGCCAGAGCCCGGCCGUGGCCGCCUGAAGCUGCACCCGUGCUGGAACCUCGCUGAGGCCAUCUGAA
This is a long non-coding RNA of Apteryx haastii (Great spotted kiwi), 1891 nucleotides long. The record is from Ensembl. NCBI's taxonomy places the organism in Eukaryota, Metazoa, Chordata, Aves, Apterygiformes, Apterygidae.